RNAcentral lists this long non-coding RNA (369 nucleotides) under Ananas comosus (pineapple). Its description in RNAcentral is "long non-coding RNA (ACOM_LNC038940)". Lineage: Eukaryota; Viridiplantae; Streptophyta; Magnoliopsida; Poales; Bromeliaceae. The record is from RNAcentral.
AGUCCGGCUACUAUACUUUUAUGAGUAUGAUCGCAUUCAUACUCAUAAGUUGUUUUCGAUAAUAGAGCUUCCGAAUCGACAAUCCAGACUGUUAAACAUUAUCUAGAGCAUUUAAAACUUUUAGAAAUCAAAUUUUAUAAUUUUUCGAUAUCAUUUACCUUACGAUCAAAAGCUCACAAAAUUGACAAUUUUUAACGAUCGGUAUGUGUACUUGCUAGUUUAACGGUGAAAAAGAAUCAAAAUAGCUUGAAUUUUUGAUAGAAAAUUAUAUUCAUUAUCUAUAUAAAGAUCAAUAACCCCAAUCUUAAAUUGAAGAAUCCGAUCAUCCAUUUUUUGGACAUCAUUCGAUUUUGACCGUUUAUUUUAUAU